Molecule: ribosomal RNA, 764 nt
Filed under: Cryptosporidium sp. intestines Agrionemys/DR2008/USA/2008
Lineage: Eukaryota; Apicomplexa; Conoidasida; Eucoccidiorida; Cryptosporidiidae
Also listed under: 1 other name
Description: SSU rRNA
Rfam family: Eukaryotic small subunit ribosomal RNA
Source: RNAcentral
AAAGAACCAAUAUUUUUGGUGACUCAUAAUAACUUUACGGAUCACAUUUUUGUGACAUAUCAUUCAAGUUUCUGACCUAUCAGCUUUAGACGGUAGGGUAUUGGCCUACCGUGGCUAUGACGGGUAACGGGGAAUUAGGGUUCGAUUCCGGAGAGGGAGCCUGAGAAACGGCUACCACAUCUAAGGAAGGCAGCAGGCGCGCAAAUUACCCAAUCCUAAUACAGGGAGGUAGUGACAAGAAAUAACAAUACAGGGCCUAACGGUCUUGUAAUUGGAAUGAGUUAAGUAUAAACCCCUUUACAAGUAUCAAUUGGAGGGCAAGUCUGGUGCCAGCAGCCGCGGUAAUUCCAGCUCCAAUAGCGUAUAUUAAAGUUGUUGCAGUUAAAAAGCUCGUAGUUGGAUUUCUGUUAAUUCUUAUAUUUUAUACUACGGUAUUUAUAUAACAUUAACAUAAUUCAUAUUACUUUUUUAGUAUAUGAAAUUUUACUUUGAGAAAAUUAGAGUGCUUAAAGCAGGCAUUUGCCUUGAAUACUCCAGCAUGGAAUAAUAUUUAAGAUUUUUAUCUUUCUUAUUGGUUCUAAGAUAAAAAUAAUGAUUAAUAGGGACAGUUGGGGGCAUUUGUAUUUAACAGUCAGAGGUGAAAUUCUUAGAUUUGUUAAAGACAAACUACUGCGAAAGCAUUUGCCAAGGAUGUUUUCAUUAAUCAAGAACGAAAGUUAGGGGAUCGAAGACGAUCAGAUACCGUCGUAGUCUUAACCAUAAAC